This 69-nucleotide transfer RNA is filed under the name Marmota monax (woodchuck). Its description in RNAcentral is "tRNA.Ala". The record is from RNAcentral. Lineage: Eukaryota; Metazoa; Chordata; Mammalia; Rodentia; Sciuridae.
GGGAUGUGGCUCAGCGGAAGAGAGCUUGUCUAGCACGCUUGAGGCCCAGGGUUCAAUUCCCAGCCCCCA